UCGUCUUACAAAUGAACAGCGCUUUCCAAUAUUGAAUUUUAUUAUCAAAAAGCAUGGUCUGUUAAGAAAUUUAUGGACGAAGCUCAUUUUUGGCUCAUGGGUGGAUCAGUUCCCUUGCAAAUGACUAUACCACUGUUCAAUUCAAUUGCUAAAGAAUAGUUUUUUAAAUGCCUUAAAACAAAUUGCUUUGGCAGAUAACAUUUUGAUUACAUAUCUUAACUCUUGGAGUGGAAAAAAGUAUAUCAAGUUUCUUAAGUUGCACAAUAAAAUAAACAGCGUUAUCUGUUAAGGAAAGGAUUUGAUCGAAGUCGUAAACCUGAGAACUGCCAUAGUUUGUCCAGUACAAUGAUAAAGAUAUCACAAUAGCAAAGGGAUAAAACUUAUAAGCAUUGUAAAGGAAAUCUUUAUAUUGGAGUGUGCUGCUGGCUUCCAAAAUUGAUUAGUGGUAUUAACAAAUACUGCCUGUUGAUGUCAAAUUGAAUUUUUCUGCUUUUGAAGAGCACUGAUUUCAAUUUCACUUUUCCUAUAUUGAAAUUUAACUCACCUGCAGAUUUAGCAUUAAGUAUAGUAGAAGACAAAUGGAAUAAAAUGCCAGCUAUAAAUAUACAAUAUAUCCGAAAACCCC
Long non-coding RNA from Stomoxys calcitrans (stable fly), 625 nucleotides. RefSeq lists it as uncharacterized. The transcript is spliced from 3 exons. NCBI's taxonomy places the organism in Eukaryota, Metazoa, Arthropoda, Insecta, Diptera, Muscidae. The record is from RefSeq and is a predicted model, not a curated record.